Molecule: ribosomal RNA, 2739 nt
Filed under: Triticum aestivum (bread wheat)
Lineage: Eukaryota; Viridiplantae; Streptophyta; Magnoliopsida; Poales; Poaceae
Description: partial small subunit ribosomal RNA
Source: RNAcentral
AUGGCCGAGGCGGUACUCAUUGUUGUGACGAAGAUUGGUGACAUUUUACUAGAAGAAGCCACCAAAGGCAUCAUAGCUAAGCUUUCUGAAAAAGUUACUAAUCUGAAGGAACUGCCAGUAAAGGUUGAGGAAAUAAAGAAGCAACUGACCAUGAUGGGCAAUGUUAUAAGGCAGAUAGGCACGGUAUACCUCACGGAUGACGUUGUCAAGAGUUGGAUUGGGGAUGUCCGCAGGGUGGCCUAUCAUGUUGAAGAUGUAAUGGAUAAAUACUCAUACAACCUUCUUCAACUUCAGGAAGAAGGGUUCCUGAAGAGAUUCUUCAUCAAAGGAACACAUUAUGUCAGAGUUUUCAGUGAAAUUACGGAUGAGAUAGUUGAGGUAGAGAAGGAGAUUCAACUAGUUAUAAAGAUGAAAGAGCAGUGGUUGCAGCCCUCCCAGCUUGCCGCUAACCCACUUACUGAGAUGGAAAGGCAGCGGUCCCAAGACAGCUUCCCUGAAUUUGUCAAAGAUGGAGAUCUAGUAGGAAUUGAAAACAACAGGAUAUGGCUGACCAGCUUGCUGUACUCCGAAGAGCCAGAGUCAGAGAAUACCGUCAUAACAGUAUCUGGCAUGGGUGGGUUGGGGAAAUCUACCCUUGUUUCAAAUGUUUAUGAACGUGAAAAGAUCAACUUCCCUGCACAUGCAUGGAUCGUUGUGUCACAAGUUUACACUGUUGAUGCCCUGUUGAGGAAGCUACUAUGGAAGAUCGGAUAUACCGAACAACCAUUGUCAGCAGGUAUUGACAAAAUGGAUGUGCAUGACUUGAAGAAGGAAAUACAGGAGAGACUUCAAAACAGAAAGUAUUUGAUUGUACUGGAUGAUGUCUGGGAGCAAGAUGUAUACUUCCAGAUACAUGAUGCUCUCCAGGAUCUCCCGGGAAGUCGGAUCAUCAUUACGACCCGGAAGGACCAUGUCGCCGGAAUUUCUUCUCCCAACCGUCAUCUUGAGCUCGAGCCAUUGAGCAAGUCUGAUGCAUUUGACCUCUUCUGUAGAAGGGCCUUUUACAACCGGAAGGGCCACAUGUGCCCCAAGGAUCUUGAGAUGAUUGCUACUUCUAUAGUUGACAGGUGUCAUGGUCUACCUCUAGCAAUUGUUACCAUUGGUGGCAUGUUGUCUUCAAGACAACGAUUAGACAUUUGGACUCAAAAGUACAAUCAGCUUCGAAGCGAGUUGUCAAACAAUGAUCAUGUCCGAGCAAUUUUCAAUCUGAGCUACCAUGACCUUCCAGACGACCUCAAAAACUGUUUUUUAUACUGCAGUCUAUUCCCUGAAGACUAUCACAUGUCACGUGAAAGCCUUGUGCGACUGUGGGUUGCUGAAGGCUUUGUGGUAAGAAAAGAAAAGAACACGCCAGAGAUGGUAGCUGAGGGAAAUCUCAUGGAAUUGAUCCACCGCAAUAUGCUUGAGGUUGUGGAGAAUGAUGAGCUUGGUAGAGUUAGCACCUGUAAGAUGCAUGAUAUUGUGCGUGAACUAGCUAUUUCUGUUGCUAAAGAAGAGAGAUUUGCUUCAGCAGAUGAUUACGCCACAAUGAUAUUGGUACAGCAGGAUAAGGAUGUUCGUCGCCUGUCAUUAUGUGGAUGGAAAGACGACACUGCAGUGAAAGUUAAACUUCCACAUCUUCGAACAGUACUGUCACUUGGACCAACUUCACCCUGCCGUGGCAUGUUAUCUUCUAUUUUGUCAGAAUCCAACUACCUUGCUGUUCUUGAGCUGCAAGACUCUGAAAUCACUGAAGUGCCAACAUCAAUAGGGUCUAUGUUCAAUCUACGUUACAUCGGGCUACGGCGCACCAAGGUCAGAUCACUUCCAGACUCCAUUGAAAAUUUGUCUAACCUCCACACUCUGGACAUCAAGCAAACCCAAAUAGAGAAGCUACCACGAGGGGUUGUCAAGAUCAAGAAGCUGCGGCACCUUUUGGCCGACAGAUAUGCUGAUGAGAAGCAGGCAGAGUUCCGGUACUUUAUUGGAGUGCAAGCACCGAAAGAGCUAUCCAACUUGGAAGAACUGCAAACUCUCGAGACUGUGGAGUCCAACCCUGACUUGGCAGAGCAGCUGAAGAAACUGAUGCAACUAAGAAGUGUGUGGAUUGAUAACAUUAGUGCUGACGACUGUGCAAAUCUGUUUGCUACCCUGUCAACUAUGCCACUCCUUUCGAGCUUGCUUCUUUCUGCAAGGGAUGCGAAGGAGGCGCUUUGCUUUGAGGCUCUCAAACCAAAUUCUACAUAUCUACACAGGUUGAUUACCAGAGGACAAUGGGCCAAGGGAACACUAAAUUGCCCGAUCUUUCUUAAACAUGGGAUAAACCUCAAGUAUCUAGCUAUAAGCUGGUGUCACGUUGGGGAAGAUCCACUGGGGAUGAUGGCACCGCACAUGCCGAACCUCACAUAUCUUAGACUAAACAACAUGCACAGUGCAAAAACUUUGGUUCUGUCUAAAGACUCCUUUCCCAACCUGAAGACGCUUGUCUUAAAGCACAUGCAUGAUGUCAGUGAGCUAAAAAUCGUUGAUGGUGCUCUUCCCUGCAUUGAUGGUUUGUACAUUGUGUCGCUGUCGAAGCUCAAUAAAGUCCCCCAAGGCAUUGAAUUUCUUCGCUCCCUUAAGAAGCUAUGGCUGCUGAGCUUGCACAAGGAUUUCAGAACUCAAUGGGACACUGAAGGGAUGCAUCCGAAGAUGGUACAUGUUCCAGAGCUUCGUGUCUAG